AUGCGUGUGUUGUUCCUUCUCUCAAGGUCCCCCACACACAUCUAAUUGAUGAUCCUAGGCUUGUCACUCUUAUAGCCACUCAUACAAAUGAAGCUUAAGCCACUUGACAUUGCCAUUAAACUCCAUAAGCUUUGUUUUUUUUCCACUUACAGGCUUCCAUUAAAUCUUCCAUUACAUUACAUAACAGAAAAGCAAAACACUUUUGCCCUUUUUAGACAUUUGCUUAUUGUGAAGGUGUGAAGAGUCCACGUUUCUAGUUUAUGUUUCUUUGAAGAUUCCUCUUCUCCACGCGCCUCUUUACGCGUAUUCUA
Arabidopsis thaliana (thale cress) is the source of this 311-nucleotide long non-coding RNA. RefSeq annotates it as other RNA. The record is from RefSeq. NCBI's taxonomy places the organism in Eukaryota, Viridiplantae, Streptophyta, Magnoliopsida, Brassicales, Brassicaceae. The transcript has a single exon.